This is a long non-coding RNA of Phacochoerus africanus (Common warthog), 1189 nucleotides long. RefSeq lists it as uncharacterized. The record is from RefSeq and is a predicted model, not a curated record. The transcript is spliced from 3 exons. Lineage: Eukaryota; Metazoa; Chordata; Mammalia; Artiodactyla; Suidae.
UACAUGGCUGUGCUUCCUGUCCCGUUGGGGGAAUCCCAAGGGGCUGAGAUGGAAAGAGGAAGCAGGACCCCAAGGGGACAGCUCUGAUGGACUCGCUCGUUCCAGGAACUUCGAGCCUGGGGUGUAAGGACCCACAACGGAAACUGAGACAGACGUGAAGCGGAGACACGAACGGCUUCCCCCUCCGUGGAAGACUUUCUCGCUUCAGAGCAUCCUCCGAGAGUCUCCGGGGGGACGUCUGGUACAGAAGACACUGCUAUUGGGUUCUCCGAAUCAAAGCCACGUCUUCUGAAGACUGAGCAUGAGAAGCUCCUCCAAUCCCAAGGAACUCCUAUCUCUGGUUCCAUAACCCCCAGGCCCGGGAGGUCCGGCCAUGCCUGUAAGGGGCACCGGACUCUGGGAAUCUGACCAGUCUCUGCUGAGCCCCCAAGUCCUACCCUGGGGACCCCAAAGACCCUUCCAGCCUGAGAGGAUGUCUGCAUCGGCUACAGGACCGGAGUAACUGGGCAGAAAGCCGAUUGCGGUGCUGGCUCCCGGCCACGUGGAUGUGCAGCAGUGAUACCCACCAGGCCGCCGGACACCGUGGAAUCCUGGAGAGAGUGAGGGGAGUCUGGGGGCCUCUGCAGGGCAGGUGAGUUUUCAGCCACAGGCAGGCCCCCGAGGGCUGAGGGGCCAGGCAGCCAGAGUGCCCGGCUCACUUCUGCCUGGCCUGGUCCCAGCAGAGGCGCCAGGCUCUCCAUCUCUCCACGUAUUCUGCCCGCGUGGACCUUUGCAUGCGUGGCGGUGCUGGCCCAAGCUCUGCUCUCCCGACUGCUCCCGGCCUGGGGCAGGCUGGCAGGUCCUGAAGAGACGCCAGCCAGGACACAUCCUUGUCACUGCACCACGUGACCAGCUGUCACUUUGGAGUUUCUGAUCCUUGCAGAGUCGAAGGUGCCGAUGAAAACCGAGGGAUUGCGUCGGCCCUGCCAGGCCCCCAGCAGGAGGCUGGGAGCCCUGUGAGUCGAGAGCGCUGAGACCCAGCCGGGAUGGGCGGGCAGCCGGCACUCGCCCUGUGUCCGGAAGCUCGGCUGCAGCUGGUCAGUACGAGUCCCACCCCCGAUAACACUCCAAAGGGACAGAGUCACAGAAGACUUCUUCCGACACCACACCUUCUGUCUCUGCCUCUCUGUCCUCUGUCUCUUUCCCUCUG